This 433-nucleotide ribosomal RNA is filed under the name uncultured bacterium. Its description in RNAcentral is "partial 16S ribosomal RNA". It matches the Rfam family "Bacterial small subunit ribosomal RNA", at positions 29 to 507 of the family's 1533-position model. The record is from RNAcentral.
AACGAACGCUGGCGGCAUGCCUAACACAUGCAAGUCGAACGAGACCUUCGGGUCUAGUGGCGCACGGGUGCGUAACGCGUGGGAACCUGCCCUUAGGUUCGGAAUAACUCCCCGUAAGGGGUGCUAAUACCGGAUAAUGUCUUCGGACCAAAGAUUUAUCGCCUUUGGAUGGGCCCGCGUUGGAUUAGCUAGUUGGUAGGGUAAAAGCCUACCAAGGCGACGAUCCAUAGCUGGUCUGAGAGGAUGACCAGCAACACUGGGACUGCGACACGGCCCAGACUCCUACGGGAGGCAGCAGUGGGUAAUAUUGGACAAUGGGCGAAGGCCUGAUCCAGCAAUGCCGCGUGAGUGAUGAAGGCCUUAGUGUUGUAAAGCUCUUUUACCCGGGAUGAUAAUGACAGUACCGGGAGAAUAAGCUCCGGCUAACUCCGUG